RNAcentral lists this transfer RNA (76 nucleotides) under Desulfurococcus sp. It matches the Rfam family "tRNA". From Rfam's summary of the family: Transfer RNA (tRNA) molecules are approximately 80 nucleotides in length. Their secondary structure includes four short double-helical elements and three loops (D, anti-codon, and T loops). The record is from Rfam by way of RNAcentral. Lineage: Archaea; Thermoproteati; Thermoproteota; Thermoprotei; Desulfurococcales; Desulfurococcaceae.
GCGGCGGUCGUCUAGCCUGGACUAGGACGCUGGCCCCCCAAGCCGGAGAUCCCGGGUUCAAAUCCCGGCCGCCGCA